GUACACUCCUACGGGAGGCAGCAGUGGGGAAUUUUGGACAAUGGGCGAAAGCCUGAUCCAGCAAUGCCGCGUGAGUGAAGAAGGCCUUCGGGUUGUAAAGCUCUUUUGUCAGGGAAGAAACGGUGAGAGCUAAUAUCUUUUGCUAAUGACGGUACCUGAAGAAUAAGCACCGGCUAACUACGUGCCAGCAGCCGCGGUAAUACGUAGGGUGCAAGCGUUAAUCGGAAUUACUGGGCGGAAAGCGUGCGCAGGCGGUUUUGUAAGUCUGAUGUGAAAUCCCCGGGCUCAACCUGGGAAUUGCAUUGGAGACUGCAAGGCUAGAAUCUGGCAGAGGGGGGUAGAAUUCCACGUGUAGCAGUGAAAUGCGUAGAUAUGUGGAGGAACACCGAUGGCGAAGGCAGCCCCCUGGGUCAAGAUUGACGCUCAUGCACGAAAGCGUGGGGAGCAAGCAGGAUUAGAAACCCGAGUAGUCCCAUGAU
This 479-nucleotide ribosomal RNA is filed under the name uncultured organism. Its description in RNAcentral is "partial 16S ribosomal RNA". It matches the Rfam family "Bacterial small subunit ribosomal RNA", at positions 331 to 801 of the family's 1533-position model. The record is from RNAcentral.